GAUGAACGCUGGCGGCGUGCCUAAUACAUGCAAGUCGAGCGAACGGACGAGAAGCUUGCUUCUCUGAUGUUAGCGGCGGACGGGUGAGUAACACGUGGAUAACCUACCUAUAAGACUGGGAUAACUUCGGGAAACCGGAGCUAAUACCGGAUAAUAUUUUGAACCGCAUGGUUCAAAAGUGAAAGACGGUCUUGCUGUCACUUAUAGAUGGAUCCGCGCUGCAUUAGCUAGUUGGUAAGGUAACGGCUUACCAAGGCAACGAUGCAUAGCCGACCUGAGAGGGUGAUCGGCCACACUGGAACUGAGACACGGUCCAGACUCCUACGGGAGGCAGCAGUAGGGAAUCUCCCGCAAAGGGCGAAAGCCUGACGGAGCAACGCCGCGUGAGUGAUGAAGGUCUUCGGAUCGUAAAACUCUGUUAUUAGGGAAGAACAUAUGUGUAAGUAACUGUGCACAUCUUGACGGUACCUAAUCAGAAAGCCACGGCUAACUACGUG
This 497-nucleotide ribosomal RNA is filed under the name uncultured bacterium. Its description in RNAcentral is "partial 16S ribosomal RNA". It matches the Rfam family "Bacterial small subunit ribosomal RNA", at positions 28 to 507 of the family's 1533-position model. The record is from RNAcentral.